RNAcentral lists this ribosomal RNA (479 nucleotides) under uncultured eukaryote. Its description in RNAcentral is "eukaryotic LSU rRNA". It matches the Rfam family "Eukaryotic large subunit ribosomal RNA", at positions 705 to 1181 of the family's 3401-position model. The record is from RNAcentral.
GGCCCAUCCGCGCAACGAAAGCGAAUGGCGGGACGCUCUCCCGCAGGGGGGCGGCGCCGCCGGCCGGACGUCCUCGAGGCGGACCGAGCCGGAGCGCUCGCGUCGGGACCCGAAAGGUGGUGAUCUAUCCGUGCGCGCGGCGAAGCCGGGGGAAACCCCGGUGGAGGCCCGUCGACGGUACUGACGUGCAAAUCGUUCGUCCGACGUGCGAAUAGGGGCGAAAGACCAAUCGAACCUCCUAGUAGCUGGUUUCCGCCGAAAUUUCCCCUCAGGAUAGCGGCCAUCGCGGAAACGUUUUGACCGGUAGAGCGAACGACUAGAGGUACCGGGGCCGUAACGGCCUCGACCUAUUCUCGAACUCCGAACGGGCAAGGAGCCGGGGGUCGCCCGAUCGGACCCCGGACGUGAAGUCGACGAUGGUCGGUGGGCUGGUUUUGGUAAGCAGAACGGGCGAUUCGGGAUGAACCGGAAGCGGGGAG